UGGGGAAUAUUGCGCAAUGGCCGCAAGGCUGACGCAGCGACGCCGCGUGUGGGAUGACGGCCUUCGGGUUGUAAACCACUGUCGGGAGGGACGAAUACGGGGCCUCAAAUAGGGGACCCUGGGUGACGGUACCUCCAAAGGAAGCACCGGCUAACUCCGUGCCAGCAGCCGCGGUAAUACGGAGGGUGCGAGCGUUGUCCGGAAUUACUGGGCGUAAAGGGCGCGUAGGCGGUUCGUUAAGUUGCUGGUGAAAUCCCGGGGCUCAACUCCGGGGCUGCCGGCAAGACUGGCGGGCUAGAGCACGGUAGAGGCAGAUGGAAUUCCCGGUGUAGCGGUGGAAUGCGUAGAUAUCGGGAAGAAUACCGGUGGCGAAGGCGUUCUGCUGGGCCGUUGCUGACGCUGAGGCGCGACAGCGUGGGGAGCAAACAGG
Molecule: ribosomal RNA, 430 nt
Filed under: uncultured bacterium
Lineage: Bacteria
Description: bacterial SSU rRNA
Rfam family: Bacterial small subunit ribosomal RNA
Source: RNAcentral